GCGCCCGUAGCUCAAUUGGAUAGAGCAUCAGACUACGAAUCUGAGGGCUGGAGGUUCGAGUCCUUCCGGGCGCGCCA
This 77-nucleotide transfer RNA is filed under the name Solirubrobacterales bacterium. RNAcentral's name for it is "tRNA-Arg". It matches the Rfam family "tRNA". Rfam says of the family: Transfer RNA (tRNA) molecules are approximately 80 nucleotides in length. Lineage: Bacteria; Bacillati; Actinomycetota; Thermoleophilia; Solirubrobacterales. The record is from RNAcentral. RNAcentral also lists the same sequence under 1 other name.